Molecule: ribosomal RNA, 253 nt
Filed under: uncultured bacterium
Lineage: Bacteria
Description: partial 16S ribosomal RNA
Rfam family: Bacterial small subunit ribosomal RNA
Source: RNAcentral
UACGGAGGGGGCUAGCGUUGUUCGGAAUUACUGGGCGUAAAGCGCACGUAGGUGGCUUUGUAAGUUAGAGGUGAAAGCCCGGGGCUCAACUCCGGAAUUGCCUUUAAGACUGCAUCGCUUGAAUCCAGGAGAGGUGAGUGGAAUUCCGAGUGUAGAGGUGAAAUUCGUAGAUAUUCGGAAGAACACCAGUGGCGAAGGCGGCUCACUGGACUGGUAUUGACGCUGAGGUGCGAAAGCGUGGGGAGCAAACAGG